Molecule: non-coding RNA, 115 nt
Organism: Cordylochernes scorpioides
Lineage: Eukaryota; Metazoa; Arthropoda; Arachnida; Pseudoscorpiones; Chernetidae
Source: the annotation of a GenBank genome assembly
ACGGCCAUACCACAUUGAAAACACCGUUUCUCGUCCUAUCACCAAAAUUAAGCUAUGUCAGGCCUGGUCAGUACUUGGGAGGUUGACCACCUGGGAACACCAGGAGCUGUAGGCU